This is a long non-coding RNA of Aegilops tauschii subsp. strangulata, 737 nucleotides long. RefSeq lists it as uncharacterized. NCBI's taxonomy places the organism in Eukaryota, Viridiplantae, Streptophyta, Magnoliopsida, Poales, Poaceae. The record is from RefSeq and is a predicted model, not a curated record.
AGACUAAGUCGAGUGAAUACUAAGGAAAUAAAAAUAUACGCCGGUGCAGUGUGGUCAUCCUACAGUCGAAUAUUCUCUUUUUUUUCUAAUGUCUUUUUACUAAGCUUGCAUUAGUACGUGUACCAGGUCCAGGUGUGCACCUGGGUAUGUUACUAAGCUAAUUUAUCCUCCACGUGCCCUCUCCCUUUCUCUAAACUAAACCUAUCUCUCUCUUCCCUGUACUAGUUCUGUACUAGUAGUUAUCAACCGAACAGAGCACCCACUAGUACUAUUAGUCCAGGAAGAACACAAGUAAUAGUACAGACUGAUGCUCCUCUGCUCCUUCCCCAGAUCGGCGCCGCCGCCAGCGACGGGAAAGAUGCCGCUGCUAGAUCCUCCACACUCUCUCUCCCCUGAUGUGAUUCCCCAUAUUAUCCCCAUGAAUUUCAGCCUCAACUCUCUAAUCCCCCUCUGUGUGUGUGUGUUCUUUUUGGCUUGCAGGUCAAACCCUAUUGGGGAUGUGAUUUCCCUGCUCCGGAUUGAAGUGGUCGGUGUUGGGCGUCGCCGUAAUGCUGGAUGGUGCAGGUUAGAGCUCCAGUGCGUGGCCAUGGAGCAGAUCGAACAUAUGUGCAGGGGAAUGCUAGUGUUGCUGGGAAGAAGAGGGCUUGGUCUGGCUAUUUUGGGUAGAGCUGAGACGAGUGAAACUUGGCAGUUGCUUACUCUGCUCUCCUUGCCAUCUAAUAUCUGAUAUCCACCUC